GUAUUGGGGCUGGUAUUGUGGAUUGUAUUGGGGCUGGUAUUGGGGCUGGUAUUGUGGAUUGUAUUUGGGCUGGUAUUGUGGAUUGUAUUGGGGCUGGUAUUGGGGCUGGUAUUGUGGAUUGUAUUUGGGCUGGUAUUGUGAAUUGUAUUGGGGCUGGUAUUGGGGCUGGUAUUUGAGCUGGUAUUGGGGCUGGUAUUGUGGAUUGUAUUGGGGCUGGUAUUGUGAAUUGUAUUGGGGCUGGUAUUGGGGCUGGUAUUGGGGCUGGUAUUGGGGCUGGUAUUUGAGCUGGUAUUGGGGCUGGUUUGUGGAUUGUUUUGGGGCUGGUAUUGUGGAUUGUUUUGGGGCUGGUAUUGGGGCUGGUAUUGUGGAUUGUAUUGGGGCUGGUAUUGUGGAUUGUAUUGGGGCUGGUAUUUGAGCUGGUAUUGGGGCUGGUAUUGUGGAUUGUAUUGGGGCUGGUAUUGUGGAUUGUAUUGGGGCUGGUAUUUGAGCUGGUAUUGGGG
Oncorhynchus tshawytscha (Chinook salmon) is the source of this 500-nucleotide long non-coding RNA. Lineage: Eukaryota; Metazoa; Chordata; Actinopteri; Salmoniformes; Salmonidae. The record is from Ensembl.